RNAcentral lists this ribosomal RNA (759 nucleotides) under Kocuria sp. ZD37. RNAcentral describes it as "bacterial SSU rRNA". It matches the Rfam family "Bacterial small subunit ribosomal RNA", at positions 63 to 833 of the family's 1533-position model. Lineage: Bacteria; Bacillati; Actinomycetota; Actinomycetes; Micrococcales; Micrococcaceae. The record is from RNAcentral.
CGAACGAUGAUGCCCAGCUUGCUGGGCGGAUUAGUGGCGAACGGGUGAGUAAUACGUGAGUAACCUGCCCUUGACUCUGGGAUAAGCCUGGGAAACUGGGUCUAAUACUGGAUACUACCUCUUACCGCAUGGUGGGUGGUGGAAAGGGUUUUACUGGUUUUGGAUGGGCUCACGGCCUAUCAGCUUGUUGGUGGGGUAAUGGCUCACCAAGGCGACGACGGGUAGCCGGCCUGAGAGGGUGACCGGCCACACUGGGACUGAGACACGGCCCAGACUCCUACGGGAGGCAGCAGUGGGGAAUAUUGCACAAUGGGCGGAAGCCUGAUGCAGCGACGCCGCGUGAGGGAUGACGGCCUUCGGGUUGUAAACCUCUUUCAGUAGGGAAGAAGCGAGAGUGACGGUACCUGCAGAAGAAGCGCCGGCUAACUACGUGCCAGCAGCCGCGGUAAUACGUAGGGCGCAAGCGUUGUCCGGAAUUAUUGGGCGUAAAGAGCUCGUAGGCGGUUUGUCGCGUCUGCUGUGAAAGCCCGGGGCUCAACCCCGGGUCUGCAGUGGGUACGGGCAGACUAGAGUGCAGUAGGGGAGACUGGAAUUCCUGGUGUAGCGGUGAAAUGCGCAGAUAUCAGGAGGAACACCGAUGGCGAAGGCAGGUCUCUGGGCUGUUACUGACGCUGAGGAGCGAAAGCAUGGGGAGCGAACAGGAUUAGAUACCCUGGUAGUCCAUGCCGUAAACGUUGGGCACUAGGUGUGGGGGACAUU